Molecule: ribosomal RNA, 497 nt
Filed under: uncultured bacterium
Lineage: Bacteria
Description: partial 16S ribosomal RNA
Rfam family: Bacterial small subunit ribosomal RNA
Source: RNAcentral
GAUGAACGCUGGCGGCGUGCCUAAUACAUGCCAGUCGAGCGAACGGACGAGAAGCUUGCUUCUCUGAUGUUAGCGGCGGACGGGUGAGUAACACGUGGAUAACCUACCUAUAAGACUGGGAUAACUUCGGGAAACCGGAGCUAAUACCGGAUAAUAUUUUGAACCGCAUGGUUCAAAAGUGAAAGACGGUCUUGCUGCCACUUAUAGAUGGAUCCGCGCUGCAUUAGCUAGUUGGUAAGGUAACGGCUUACCAAGGCAACGAUGCAUAGCCGACCUGAGAGGGUGAUCGGCCACACUGGAACUGAGACACGGUCCAGACUCCUACGGGAGGCAGCAGUAGGGAAUCUUCCGCAAUGGGCGAAAGCCUGACGGAGCAACGCCGCGUGAGUGAUGAAGGUCUUCGGAUCGUAAAACUCUGUUAUUAGGGAAGAACAUAUGUGUAAGUAACUGUGCACAUCUUGACGGUACCUAAUCAGAAAGCCACGGCUAACUACGUG